Molecule: ribosomal RNA, 199 nt
Filed under: Escherichia coli
Lineage: Bacteria; Pseudomonadati; Pseudomonadota; Gammaproteobacteria; Enterobacterales; Enterobacteriaceae
Description: partial 23S ribosomal RNA
Rfam family: Bacterial large subunit ribosomal RNA
Source: RNAcentral
GGUAGCUAAAUGCGGAAGAGAUAAGUGCUGAAAGCAUCUAAGCACGAAACUUGCCCCGAGAUGAGUUCUCCCUGACUCCUUGAGGGUCCUGAAGGAACGUUGAAGACGACGACGUUGAUAGGCCGGGUGUGUAAGCGCAGCGAUGCGUUGAGCUAACCGGUACUAAUGAACCGUGAGGCUUAACCUUACAACGCCGAAG